UUACGGCCAUAUCACGUAGAAACAUUGGUUUCCCAUACGAUAACCGAAGUUAAGCAACGUCGACCCUGAUUUCUACCUAGAUGGGUGACUGCUUGGGAAUACCAGGUGCUGUAAG
This is a non-coding RNA of Acanthosepion pharaonis, 115 nucleotides long. The record is from the annotation of a GenBank genome assembly. NCBI's taxonomy places the organism in Eukaryota, Metazoa, Mollusca, Cephalopoda, Sepiida, Sepiidae.